RNAcentral lists this long non-coding RNA (465 nucleotides) under Gossypium raimondii (Peruvian cotton). RNAcentral's name for it is "long non-coding RNA (GRAI_LNC001663)". Lineage: Eukaryota; Viridiplantae; Streptophyta; Magnoliopsida; Malvales; Malvaceae. The record is from RNAcentral.
UGGUUUGAGAACCAAAAGCUUCCCAGAUGUCUUUGGCAUGUCAGACUUGACAUGAUCACUGUGGGGAGACUGAUUACCAUGAUGAGUCAAAGAAUAUUGUUGCUGUCCACUCUUUAUAGUUAUGUUCAUGUCACUCGUUCUGACAGCAGGUUUGGCUUUUGAUUUGUCCACUGAAUUGUGAACCUGGGACCAAAAAAUUAGGAAAUUAUAUCUGAAAUUUCUAAGUACUAAUUAAAUGGUUCUUCUAUCAUGCAGUAGACAGGUCAAAAGAAAAAGCGCAACUUCCAGAACACUUCAUGAGCAUACAGCAAACUAGCUAACUUGAGUUAAUCUUGGCAUUUCCAAAUCCCUUAAAGAUGUACAAGAACAGUUAUAAUUCAACCACAAGUCUAUAUCAUUAAGUCAUAUCAUAAACAUGAAAUUCAAAAUCUACUGUAAACAACACCAGGGAAGAAAAAGAAAAAG